Molecule: long non-coding RNA, 1065 nt
Filed under: Sitophilus oryzae (rice weevil)
Lineage: Eukaryota; Metazoa; Arthropoda; Insecta; Coleoptera; Curculionidae
Description: uncharacterized LOC115877883
Source: RNAcentral
AGAACCAUAAACUCUCGAAAGCCCAAGUUAUCGAAAACCCGAACGCAAGCGAACGGUAGACCGAAUGGUCCCGAUUGGAAGUUAUCGAAUCUCGGCGGGGAGACCAUAAACUCUCGAAAGCCCAAGUUAUCGAAAACCCGAACGCAAGCGAACGGUAAACCGAAUGGUCCCGAUUAGAAGUUAUCGAAUCUCGGCUCCUCCCCUCGUUAUUUGUAUUUUAAAUUGUAAACAAAAGUCAACGCAAUUUGUUUUUGGUGGAAAUAUACACUAAAAUACUUUAAAAUGUAAAGUUAUCUUGCAAAAUUAGAACCUGAAAGCCUAGAAAUGCGGAAUCGGUACAAACCAAAAAUUUAACUUGUGAAUAACAUAGAAAAUAGAAGUCCUUAGUUUUGAUAUUUAUUUUAAAUGCUAGCCCAGACUGCCCAGUGGAGUUUUCAAAGAUAUAAGAAACACGGAAAUUAUUAGUAGUGUUCACCAUGAAUUCUUACAAAUUUCCAGAAAUUGAAAGGAAAUAGGAGGCGUGUGUUAAGCAAGAUUUUGUAGUGAUAUGGAAGCCUAAAGUUGCAGGCCAUAUCCUUAUCAAAGCAAAAAGUCAAAAAUCUACAGCGUAUGAAUAGUAUGUAAACCUGAAGCCUGCAGCUCAGAUUGUGUUAGAAAGGGUUUCAACAUCAAACUAUACUGAACUCUAACCCUGAAAAUGUUAAUACAAAUCCAAAGCAAUUAUCAGCAUGGCAGGAAAAUUAAAAGCAAAAGUUUCAUUGAAAUUAUAUUGUUUAUAAAUCAGGAUCAAAAUUACAUUAUUUCACUUUGAAAAUAGGACCGGGUAAAGAAUAUUCAUAAUGCGGAGCUUAACCAGUUGAUAUAGUUAGUGUAGUUAUUGUGAUAGAGUAAAUGUGUUGAAUUAAAAUACUUAUUUCUGCAGAAAAACGUGAGCCUAGCUUAAAGGAUACUGUAUAAAUUUCUAAUGUUUUUUUUAUAACUGAUGUUUACCUACUUUUUGUGUUACAUCAUGUGGCGUUAAAAUAUUUUUUUUGGAAUACUUAUAUUAAAUUCUUUUAAAAAUCG